UACGGAGGGUGCGAGCGUUGUCCGGAAUCAUUGGGCGUAAAGGGUGCGUAGGCGGGUCUUUAAGUCAGGGGUGAAAUCCUGGAGCUCAACUCCAGAACUGCCUUUGAUACUGAGGAUCUUGAGUUCGGGAGAGGUGAGUGGAACUGCGAGUGUAGAGGUGAAAUUCGUAGAUAUUCGCAAGAACACCAGUGGCGAAGGCGGCUCACUGGCCCGAUACUGACGCUGAGGCACGAAAGCGUGGGGAGCAAACAGG
Molecule: ribosomal RNA, 253 nt
Filed under: uncultured bacterium
Lineage: Bacteria
Description: partial 16S ribosomal RNA
Rfam family: Bacterial small subunit ribosomal RNA
Source: RNAcentral